RNAcentral lists this ribosomal RNA (499 nucleotides) under uncultured bacterium. RNAcentral describes it as "partial 16S ribosomal RNA". It matches the Rfam family "Bacterial small subunit ribosomal RNA", at positions 899 to 1397 of the family's 1533-position model. The record is from RNAcentral.
ACUCAAAUGAAUUGACGGGGACCCGCACAAGCAGUGGAGUAUGUGGUUUAAUUCGAAGCAACGCGAAGAACCUUACCAGGUCUUGACAUCCCGAUGAAAGCAUUAGAGAUAGUGCCCCUCUUCGGAGCAUCGGAGACAGGUGGUGCAUGGUUGUCGUCAGCUCGUGUCGUGAGAUGUUGGGUUAAGUCCCGCAACGAGCGCAACCCUUGAUGUUAGUUGCCAGCAGGUUAAGCUGGGCACUCUAACGUGACUGCCGGUGACAAACCGGAGGAAGGUGGGGAUGACGUCAAAUCAUCAUGCCCCUUAUGACCUGGGCUACACACGUACUACAAUGGCCGGUACAACGGGAAGCGAAACCGCGAGGUGGAGCGAAUCCUUAGAAGCCGGUCUCAGUUCGGAUUGCAGGCUGCAACUCGCCUGCAUGAAGUCGGAAUUGCUAGUAAUCGCGGAUCAGCAUGCCGCGGUGAAUACGUUCCCGGGUCUUGUACACACCGCCCGU